This 464-nucleotide ribosomal RNA is filed under the name uncultured bacterium. RNAcentral describes it as "bacterial SSU rRNA". It matches the Rfam family "Bacterial small subunit ribosomal RNA", at positions 60 to 524 of the family's 1533-position model. The record is from RNAcentral.
AGUCGAACGAUGAUCUCCAGCUUGCUGGGGGGAUUAGUGGCGAACGGGUGAGUAACACGUGAGUAACCUGCCCUUGACUCCGGGAUAAGCCUGAGAAAUUGGGUCUAAUACUGGAUACGACCUUCCCGCGCAUGCGGUGUUGGUGGAAAGCUUUUGUGGUUUUGGAUGGACUCGCGGCCUAUCAGCUUGUUGGUGGGGUAAUGGCUUACCAAGGCGACGACGGGUAGCCGGCCUGAGAGGGUGACCGGCCACACUGGGACUGAGACACGGCCCAGACUCCUACGGGAGGCAGCAGUGGGGAAUAUUGCACAAUGGGCGAAAGCCUGAUGCAGCGACGCCGCGUGAGGGAUGAAGGCCUUCGGGUUGUAAACCUCUUUCAGUAGGGAAGAAGCUGGCCCUUUUGGGUUGGUGACGGUACCUGCAGAAGAAGCGCCGGCUAACUACGUGCCAGCAGCCGCGGUAAU